AGAGUUUGAUCAUGGCUCAGAACGAACGCUGGCGGCGUGGAUAAGACAUGCAAGUCGAACGGAUUCAGCUUUGUAGUAAUACAGAGUUGGGUUAGUGGCGCACGGGUGAGUAACACGUGAGUAAUCUGCCGAGAAGUGGGGGAUAGCUCGCCGAAAGGCGAAUUAAUACCGCAUGUGAUAGCAAUAUUAAAGUCGGGGUAACCUGACGCUUCUUGAUGAGCUCGCGGCCUAUCAGCUUGUUGGCGGGGUAACGGCCCACCAAGGCUAUGACGGGUAGCUGGUCUGAGAGGAAGAUCCCCCACACUGGCACUGGGAUACGGACCAGACUCCUACGGGAGGCAGCAGUAGGGAAUAUUGGGCAAUGCCCGCAAGGGUGACCCAGCCAUGCCGCGUGCAGGAAGAAGGCCUUCUGGGUUGUAAACUGCUUUUGGAAGGGAACAAAAUGGUCUUGCGAGACAACUUGAGUGUACCUUCAGAAUAAGCACCGGCUAACUCCGUGCCAGCAGCCGCGGUAAUACGGAGGGUGCAAGCGUUGUCCGGAUUUAUUGGGUUUAAAGGGUGCGUAGGCGGCUUAUUAAGUCAGGGGUGAAAGACUAUUGCUUAACAAUGGCAGUGCCUUUGAUACUGAUAAGCUUGAGUACAGCUGAGGCAGAUGGAACGGGUGGUGUAGCGGUGAAAUGCAUAGAUACCAUCCAGAACACCGAUUGCGAAGGCAGUCUGCUAAACUGUAACUGACGCUGAGGCACGAAAGCGUGGGGAUCGAACAGGAUUAGAUACCCCCGUAGUCC
RNAcentral lists this ribosomal RNA (788 nucleotides) under uncultured Bacteroidota bacterium. RNAcentral describes it as "bacterial SSU rRNA". It matches the Rfam family "Bacterial small subunit ribosomal RNA", at positions 8 to 796 of the family's 1533-position model. Lineage: Bacteria; Pseudomonadati; Bacteroidota. The record is from RNAcentral.